ACGGUUGACGUACUCGUGUGGUGUGCGAGCUGUGCGGACGAGGUGCAGGAAUCACAUCGGAAUCUACUCUGUCGUGGGGGAUAACGUAGGGAAACUUACGCUAAUACCGCAUACGACCUACGGGUGAAAGCAGGGGAUCUUCGGGCCUUGCGCGAUUGAAUGAGCCGAUGUCGGAUUAGCUAGUUGGCGGGGUAAAGGCCCACCAAGGCGACGAUCCGUAGCUGGUCUGAGAGGAUGAUCAGCCACACUGGAACUGAGACACGGUCCAGACUCCUACGGGAGGCAGCAGUGGGGAAUAUUGGACAAUGGGCGCAAGCCUGAUCCAGCCAUACCGCGUGGGUGAAGAAGGCCUUCGGGUUGUAAAGCCCUUUUGUUGGGAAAGAAAUCCAGCUGGCUAAUACCCGGUUGGGAUGACGGUACCCAAAGAAUAAGCACCGGCUAACUUCGUGCCAGCAGCCGCGGUAAUACGAAGGGUGCAAGCGUUACUCGGAAUUACUGGGCGUAAAGCGUGCGUAGGUGGUCGUUUAAGUCCGUUGUGAAAGCCCUGGGCUCAACCUGGGAACUGCAGUGGAUACUGGUCGACUAGAAUGUGGUAGAGGGUAGCGGAAUUCCUGGUGUAGCAGUGAAAUGCGUAGAGAUCAGGAGGAACAUCCAUGGCGAAUGCAGCUACCUGGACCAACACUGACACUGAGGCACGAAAGCGUGGGGAGCAAACAGGAUUACAUACCCUGGUAGUCCACGCCCUAAACGAUGCGAACUGGAUGUUGGGUGCAAUUUGGCACGCAGUAUCGAAGCUAACGCGUUAAGUUCGCCGCCUGGGGUAGUACGGUCGCUAAGACUGAAAGCUCAAAGGAAUUUGACAGGCUGGUUCCGCAUCAAGCGGGUAGUGGAGUAUGUUGGAUUUACAUUUGCGAUGUCCAAACGUUCUGAAC
Molecule: ribosomal RNA, 932 nt
Filed under: Stenotrophomonas sp. SGM 09
Lineage: Bacteria; Pseudomonadati; Pseudomonadota; Gammaproteobacteria; Lysobacterales; Lysobacteraceae
Description: bacterial SSU rRNA
Rfam family: Bacterial small subunit ribosomal RNA
Source: RNAcentral